Molecule: non-coding RNA, 82 nt
Organism: Gymnopus androsaceus JB14
Lineage: Eukaryota; Fungi; Basidiomycota; Agaricomycetes; Agaricales; Omphalotaceae
Source: the annotation of a GenBank genome assembly
UCCCUGGUGGUCAGUCGGUUAGUACACGCGCCUGUCGUUCAAUGGCGCGUGCGAAAGCUAGGUUCGACUCCCAGACAGGGAG